AAAGGAAGAAAAGGGAAGAAAAGAAGAAGAACAAAAACCUAGCUAAGAAAUUCAAGAGAAAUUCAUAAAAUUUCAAAGAAUCAAGUGACAAAAGGUAAGAUUUUUCAAUUUUAGCUUGUGAUCUACCUUUCCUAUGCAUUCUUUUUCAUUUUCCGUGGUUGAGAAUCAAGUUUGCAUGAGGAUACCUUUGCUGGCCGGACAUGGGGGGAGGAGUUUUGAACUUGGAUUUGGUUAGAUUUCAAUAUAUUCUAGUGUUUUUAGUUAGUGAUGUGUAGCAUGAAAAGCAAAAAAGAAAAAUUCAUUUUCUUCCAUCACCCUCCAUUGGCCGAAUCUUCCUUAUGGUGUGUUGAUGGUGGACUUGAUUUUAUUUCAAGUGAUUUGGUUAGGAAUUAAUGAUUUAUGGUGUAAAAAUCAAGUGAGAAAAAUCAUAGUGUUCAUGCACCCACCAUGGCCGAAAUUCCCAAGAAAAAAUGUGAAGAUGAUCUUACUAAAUUUUAUGUUACUUGACUUGAAUUUGAUGAUUUGGAGUAUUGGGAGAGAAAUGGAGUUAUUUGGAGUUAAAUUGGAUGUAUUGGCUAAUUAAUCGGGUGAUAGAUCGAAUUAGUCCAAUAACAUUUUAUUUAGGUACAUAAUUGAAUUUAUAUUGAACAACGUGUCUAGAUAGUUACUCGAGUAUUUCACAUCCCAUUUCAUGCAUUAGUAUAGAGCCUGAAUUGGUUUUACAACGGUUUAGCACAAAUGUAGCAAAUUGCUUAUUGUGCAUAAUGUCUAGGUGGUGAGCAUUCUCGCAAGAGUAAAGAGGUAGUUUUCGAGGAUCAAGAAUCAGAGUAUCCCGAAUUCGAUUCCCAUUACAGUGAAUAACCUUAUUAUCAUCUUAAUUAUCUAAAGUAUGUUUUUUAUCUGAUAUUGUAAUUUUAUGGAAAAUGUGUUUAAAUGAAAUGAUUUUAUAAAUUGUUUUGAAAUUUAAUGAUGACUUGAAAAUGGAGUAAUUGGAGACUACUUGCUAUAUUGUAAAUUAUGUUUUCAAUUGAAUGGCUUAUGAUAAUGUGGGCAUGAAUGGCUAGAUGGGUAUUUGUGUUGAAAAUGUAUAAACUAUUGUUUGCCUUGAUAGGCUAGAUAAUGAUAAAAUUGCCAUGUCAUGCUGUUGAAUUUUUAUUGAAUUGGUGGGUUAUAGAUUGGUCACUACAGUGGCGAGUUCUGUGGACCAGCUUAUUAGAGGGGCACGAAAUUCGGGUAUAUUCUUACCUCGAUCGGAGAGGCACAUAGGGUAACUCCUGAGGUAAAACUUUAGAGUUCACUUCACGCUGAACCACCACGUGAGGGUGAACUCUGCCAACGCCAAGGAACGGCUAUGUUUUCAAAAUAAAAAACAUGAUUUAUGCGUACAUGACUUUUUAACAGCCUUGGAAGACUUGGUUGGUAUAGCCCCAAGCCAAGGUAUCCCUGACAACUGAGUAUGAGAAUGAUUUUGGCACGAGCCAAGCUUUUCAGGAAAUCAUAAGCCUCGUUGUUUAUUUAGUUGAAAUGAAUCUAUUUUAUCUUAUUAAAAUGAGUUCGAAAUGCUGUGAAUCAGUUUUAUGCUAAUCUAUUUUAUCUGUGUCCAUUUACUCUGCUUUAGAUAUUUUAGAUGGUAUUUUUUUACUCAUUGGGAUUAUAUAAUCUCACCACCCUCCUUUCCACCCAUUUCAGGCUCAGGAUAGUCAGUAGAUAGCUCAUUUCGUUGAGGGUUACAGUUGGACUUGCAUCCUCAAAAACUGUAGGUUCACAGCCUUCAUUACUUUUAGUCAUUCGGGGGCCCACAUGUCAUUGUUAAAUGUUUUGAAUACCUGGCUGCGUGUGCUACUGUAUGUAGGAAUUUAUUUUUCUUUUAUGCUGUAAAAAUUAUUUACGUAGCGUUCUACAAAAAUUGUUUUAUGAAAAAUUAGAAUAUUUUAUUCAUUAUUUUUAUUUUAUUCCAUUAGCUAUAAUUUCACUUUAAAUGAAUGUUUUAGAUAUCUAAACUUAUUUUCGGUUAUGAAAUGUGUAAAUUUCUCUCAUAUACUACGUUUUAGCUAGUUUCAGAAUUUUUUAGAAAAAUGACCAAAAUACCCCUGUGUAGUUGAAAUUUCUCUUUGACUGUUUUUUAAUUGAAAUUGGUUCAUAUCACUUUGAAACAUGAUUUUAGUAAUUAAUACUCACAGGGGAAGCGAGAAAACUGAUUUUAAGCCUUACGAGGUUUCGAUUGGCAUUCCGAGUAAUGAAUGUCUAUCGAGACAUCGCGGCGGUUGUCAUGAGCUCGAUGGGAGUUCUGGGUCGUGACAAUUAUAUUGGUAUCAAAGCACAGAGCUUUUGGUUUUAAAGUUAAUUUAAAAAUUUACAGUGUCAAUGUGGCCCUAAGUUAAGUUAAGUUAGGUUGAGUCAAAUGCAUGCAUUUGCAUAUAUAAACCUACCUGUUCUUGUGAUGCGUACAAAAUUAAGAAAUUACUGCUUGAUUGCGUAUAGGUUUUGAGGUGCGCUGGUUGCACACACCAUGUCUAGGAGAGACGAUAGUCCCGAUGCCUCUCAUAGUAUUAGCGAGGGAUCACUAGAUUCUACUGAUAAGAGCCAAUGGGAACCUGAACCAAGUAGUCUAGAAAGUGCCUCGCCUAGGAUUUCUAUUAAGUGGAUUCCACCGGAUUUGGAGAUGAGGGUUCGUGAAAAAGAAAGCUUCGACCUUUGUAAGACCAUUGAAAGUGCUAAUAGUAAUGACAUUAAUAUAAGCAUGAGAAAUUCCCUUUUGAAAAAGUCUAAGGAAUACGCUGAAGAAAGGGGGAAAAUAAUAAUAGCCAAAGGGGAUUAUCAUCCUAGGAAGGUAUCUGUACCCGUUGUUCGACACUUUCCUCCAGGCUGUGGGAGUAAUGUAAGGGAACAAUAAGAAAAGAAUAAGGAGAAAGUAAUUGUUGUAAAUUGUCAUGACCUGGUACUCUCCUCGAGCUUGUGACAACCGUCGCGAUGUUCCGAUAGACAUUCAUUACCCAGAAUGCCAACCAAAACCCCGCAAUGCUUUAAUAUCAGUUUUCGUACCUCCCCUGUGAGUAACAGUUGUUAAGUAUCAUGUUUUGAGAGAUUAUAAACUAUUUCCAAAUCAAAACAAUAAAAAAAUAAUUUUUCACUCACAGAGGCAUUUUGGUCAUUUUUUCUCAAAAAUUUUGAAACCAGCUAAAAAUGUAGUAUGCGAGUAUAAAACACAUAAUUCAUAAUAAAAAAUAAGCUUAAACAUCUAAAACCUUCAUUUAAAAUGAAAUUAUGACUAUUUGAAUAUAAUAAAAAAUAUUCAAUAAAAUAUUAUAUCUUCUUAUAAAACAAUAUUUAUAGAGUUACCGGUAAAUAAUUUUUGUAGUGUAAAAGUUAAAUAAAUUCAUACAUAUUGUAAUACAGAUAACCAAAGUAUGAAAUUUGAUUUACAGUGACACGUGGGCCCACGACGACCAAAAGUAAUGAAGGCUAUGAACCUACAGUUUUUUAGGAUGCAAGUCCAACUGUAGCCCUCAACGAAAUGAGCUAUUUACCGACUAUCCUGAGCUUGAAAGGGUGGAAAGGAGAGUAGUGAGAUUAUAUAAUCUUAGUGAGUAAACAAAUAGCAUCUAAAAUAUCUAAAGCUGAGUAAAUGGAGACAAAUAAAAUAGUUUAACAUACUGUAAUUCAUCACCUUUCAACUCAUUUCAACCAAAUAAAAUCCAUUCAUAUAAAUCGAGUAAUCAACAAGGCUUAUGAAUUUCUUAAAACUUUGGCUCGUUCCAAAAUCAUUUUCAUACUCAGUUAUCAAAGAUACCUUGACCAAGGGCUAUCCCAACGAGUUUGCCAAGGAUGUUAAAAAGUCAUGUACGCAUAAAUCAUGUUUUUAUUUUGAAAACAUAACCGUUCCUUGGCAUUGGCUGAGUUCACCCUCAUGUGGUGGUUUAGCGUGAAGUGAACUCUAAAGUGUUAACCUCAGGAGUUAUCCAUACGCACCUCUCAUACUGAGGUAAAAAUAUAAUAGGGUUAUCGUGCCCCUUCUAAUAGGCUGGUCCACGGAACCCGUCCACUACAACGACUAAUCAAUAAUCCACCAAUUCAAUAAAAUUCAACAGCAUGACAUGGCAAUUUUAUCAUUAUCCAGCCUAUCAAGGCAAACAACAAUUUAUACAUUUUAAACACAAAUACCAAUUCAGCCAUUCAUGCCAAUAUUGCCAUAAGCCAAUCAAUUAGAACCAUAAAUUCACAAUACAUCAAAUGGUCUCUAAUUACUUUAUUUUCAAAGCCAUCAUUCAAUUUCAAGACAAUUUAUAAAAUCAUUUCAUUUAAACACAUUUUGUUUAUAAAACAUAAAGAUUUACUAUUUAAACUCAUUUUCCAUAAAAUCACAAAAUUGGAUAAAAACCACUUCAGAUAAUUAAGACGAUAGUAUGGUUGCUCACUAUUUCGGGAGUCGAAUUUCGAGUACUCCGAUUCUUGAUCCUCGGGUACUAUUUCUUUACUUUUGUCAGAAUGCUCACCACCUAGACAUGAUGCACAAUAAGCCAUUUACUAAAUUUGUGCUAAAUUGUUAUAAAAUCAAUUCAGGCUCUAUACUAAUGCAUGAAAUGGGAUGUGAAAUAGUUGGGCAACUAUCUAAAUACGGUGUUCAAUAUAAAUUCAAUUAUGCACCUAAAUAAAAUGGUAUUGGCUUAAUUCAAUCUAUCACCUGAUUAAUUGGCCAAUAUGUCCAAUUUAACUCCUUUUAAUUUCAUUUUUCUCCCAAUACUCCAAAUCAUCAAACACAAAUUAAAUAACUUGAAAUAUGGCAAAAUCAUCCUCACAUUUUCUCUUGGAAAAUUCGACCAUGGUGGGUGCAUCAACAUUAUAAUUUUUCAAGCUUGAUUCUCACACCAUAAAUUACUAAUUCCUAAUCAAAUCACUUGAAAUAAAAUCAAAAUCAUCAUCAAUACUCUACAAGGAAGAUUCGCCCAAUGGAGGUUCUUGAGGGGUAUACGAUUUUUCAUGCUAAACAUUAUCAUUUUCGGUUUUCACCACCACAAUUCAUUAAAUUUUAACUAAAUAACAUAAGACAUCACAAGAUUCAUCUUCAAUAUUGUCUUUAUGAAAUUCGGCCAAUGAAGAAUCCAUGAAGAAUAUGUGAUUUUUCUUACUUGUUUUCCUUCCAAACAUGAUAAAUCAACUAUAAUCACUAAAAUAUCUCAAAAUCUAACCAAAUAAAUCAUCAAAUCUUCUCUCUUUAAAUUCGGUCAGCCAUGAAUCCUUCAUGAUAUCUUGUGAUUCGACCAUGGAAAAUGCAAAAGAAUGCAUGGGAAAGGUAGAUUACAAGUCAAAAUAAAGAAAUUUUACCUUUGAUUGCUUGAUUACUUGAAAUCCACCAAUUUUUCUCUUCAAUUUUCACCUUAGGGCUCUUGUUCUUUCUUUUCUUCCUUUGUUCUUACUUUGGCCGGCCAUAUGAAGAGAAAUGGGCUGAUUUUGUGCUGAUUUUUAAGCAAAAUAAUAAAUGGAUGAGAAUUUGACACAUGUCACCAUUCUAUUGUCCAUGUGUCAUACUUACCCAUUAAGCAAUCUCUCUCCACCACUUAAAUUUUCGCAAUUAUCCAUGAUAAUAUUGGGUAAAAUUCAUGUGCUGGACAAUUGUUGGGUGGUGUAAAAUUACAAUUUUGCCCCUAGAGUGGCAAAAUGACUAUUUUGCCCCUAAAGUGGCAAAAUGACUAUUUUGCCUUUAUGCUUGAAAACAUGCCAGAAUUAAAAUUUUCCACUUCUCAAACUCUAAUUAUGUUCUAAAUAGUCAAUCUUGAUUAAAAACUUCUUCCAACAUUUCAAUUUUAACCUCGGGUGGCAAAAUGACCAUUUUGCCCCUAAGUCAUGAAAAUUCUAAUUUGACUCCAAAUCGGUACUCGAACUCUGAAUCACCAUUUUAAGUCAUUAUGGGGUUUUAAAAUUCUCAAUUUCAUCUUAAAAUCUCUAUUUGGACUAGUUCGAGGCUUAAUUCAACUUAAUUGUACCAUUUGGUACAAUACCGUCCUUUAACGAUUUCCAAGGUACCCAAGUAAGCAAACAUGCAUUCUUAUGUUAGAAUGGCAUAAUAAAUAUAUUGUAGAGCUGGGCUUGACAUAAAUUAUCCCCUUAAGAAGGUGACUGUUGUACGACAUUUUUCUCUCGGUUGUGGAAGAAAUGCUGCACUUGUGAGUUAUGAAGAAUGUAGGAGAAUACAACAAGCUUGGAUUGAGGAACAAAGGAGUAAAUCUUAAGAGGAAGAGGAGGAUCCGAAAGAGGAUCCUGAAGAUACUUAAUACCUUCGUUGAAGUUUGUAUCAUCAUAAAUCUAGGCAAGUGUCGUUUAAGGGAAAAUGUAAUAGUUAUCUGUACAAAGAAGUUAAUAGUUUGGCUUUUAAAGUGUAUGACUAAAAUGUAUUAUAAAGUAGCUGUUUAAGUGAUUGGAUGUAUAUGAGAAUCUUUUGGUAGGACAUAAGUGGAUUAACAUUAUGACUAUUAAGGAAAGAUAUUUAUCUUAGUGGCAUGGUUGAUCAUCUUAGAUAAUUAUUGAAGACUGAUGUGGAAAGUCAUUAAUGAUUUAAGCAAUCACCCUAAUUAACAAUGAAUAUAUUUUGCAGUACUAAGAAAUGGAUACUGAUUAACGUGAUAAACUUUUGGGGUGAUAACCCUAGAUUUUGAUGAAGUAUAAAGGACCAUUUAAAUUGAUGAUGUUUGUUGAAAAUUAUUACUUAUCGUAGUAUGUGAGUUUUUGAUAUGACUCCGAAUGCAAGGCUAAAUAAAUAAAAUUCUGGUUUAUAGGACAAAAUGUAUCAGAGAAAAUGAUUCCCUAGUAAACACACUAAACUCGAGGACUAUGUUAUAAUAAGCGGGUUCAAUGUGUUGUAAUUGCAUAGGAUUUUGGGAGACAGUGUGGUAAGACUAACAAUCAAUCAUGGAGAUGUGAAAUUGGGAAUCUUAAUUGUAGUUACAAUUUGAAAGGAUAUGGAAGAAAUCAAUGAGGCUCUAGAUGACAUUUUGAGCGAUUAAUGUGAUAAAGUCAAAGAUUGUAAGCUUGAGGGUGGAGGAAGUAUAAAAUGAUGCCAUAACAUUAUAGGAAGAUAAUCUAAUACAAAUAUGGUCCAUUAUAGAUAAAUGAAGGAACUUGAAAAAGAUAAUUUUUUAUUAAUAAAGAUUGUGAGUAUAAGUGUAGUGAAAGAUGAACUAUUUUCAUGGUCUUUGUACUGGAAGUUAAUAAACUAUUGGAGUUAUAAGACAAAGAAGAUGAUCAUAAAUGGAUAAUGAAAAUAGUGGGAUACCAUAAAUAAUAAGUAAUUAUGUGUAUGAUGAUGUAUAUAUUGUGAAUUCAGUACACCAUAUGGGAAAGAUGUCCUAAGGUGGGACUUGAAAUAUGUGGAUUUUUGGAUAUGCUCUAGAAGGGAACUUUUGCAUCCUAAAUUCGAGAUAUCUUGAUCUUAUAACUGCAAGGAUGAGAUGUAAUAAUUAAGUAAAUUAUCCAUUUUAUAAAUGUAAUUGGUUAAGAACCCUUUAUGGCUAGAAAUAACGAGCAAAUUGGGAAUGGCAUGAAGAUUAGAGUCACGAGUUGGAAAAUGGUCAUUGGUUUUGAUGUCGAGUUUCGUUAUUGGGAGCCUUAAGUGCAUUGUGGGAGUGUUAAGAUGAAUAAUAUAUUGACUAAAGUCAAAUCUUAAGAAAUAAAGUAAACCUUGUAAGGUUAAAGAGGAAGUGAGGGAAAGGUUAGAUGAAUGUAUGAGAUAUUGAUAAGAGAUGUCAAUACCAAGUGAUGAGAGUGUGAAUGAAGAUUUAAAGAAUGAUAUAGCAAAUGAGAUUAUAUAGAAUAUUGUUACGAGAAUUUACAAAUCUUGUCUUGACUUUUUUGAAAGGAAAGGAUUAGUGACAACACAAGAAAACCACAUGGUAUGCUAGAAACCCUUGGAGAUAAGUUGAAGCAUGAGUAGUUAAGCAUGCAUUUAAAUAUUUUGGUGAGCAAGUGCAUGCCUUUAUGGAAAAAAUAUACUUGGAGUAUGAAAGAGCAAAUAAGUGAUUAAGUGUUUCAAGAAUGUUUAAACACCUUUGAGAAAGAAUUAUAAAUUAUACGAGUUAAGUGAACACAUGCUGUGAGACAUAAGUUUAAGAUAGGUAUCCCCAAGGAAAUACUUAAGAUAAGUUCUACAAUGGAUCUCGUGAAAGCAAACAUUAAGUUAUAUGAUCAUAAAAAAGAAGUCAUAAGCUGAGAGUGAUACUUGUAUUGACAUUGAAAAGUACUUGAGGAGGACAUAGUUUCAAGUUUUACAAUUUCAAGUACAAUUUGUAAAUUGGCUAAGGGAGAAUGAUGUUAUGUUCAUAUGAAAGAGUGGAACAAAAGAUGAUUGAAGUUAACCUUGAUAAUGAAGUCAGAUAAUGAAACUUUCCUAAUAUAUUAUGGAAAUUAGAAUUUGAAAUGCUUGAGGCAUACAUGAUUCAAAUGAGUCUGAGUUUUAAGUGACAAAUCAAUAUCGGAAUGAAAUAAGGAUACAAGGUAAUGUAGAGGCAUGAAGGAUAAUCGAGGAAAAAGGAUGACUCUUAGGAAUUGUGGUAUUGCAUAAGAUGCAAUGAUCAAGUUAAGAUAAAUCUUUGAGGCAUCAAUGGGAUUAUAAAAGAUACAUGCAUAAUAGAUUAUAAUUCAACAAAGAUGACAUUGUGAUGCAAUGAUAUAUAGAAUAAGGAAACUUAAGCAUAUAAUUGGAAAUGAUAAGAAGAGAGUAUAAGUUUGUAAAUGAUAUGGAACUAUGCACAGGCAUGAUGAGAAUUUGUAUGAAUUAUGAAGAUUAUUCUAUUGAAUCUUGGUUAUGGAUGGGAAUGAACAAAGAGAAAUUAGUCAGAAGGCAUUUGAAAACAGAGACCCGUAUACAUAAUAAGGAAUAUGGACAUUUGAAUGUGCGUGUAUACGUAUGUGUGGAGUUAGUGAUGUACCCAACUAAAAUGAAGAAUGGUUUUAGUGGUUCGAGAUUUGAACUCAAUAUAUUUGAUGAGUUGUAUAGAUAAUGUAAUGAUCAAGAAUCUUAUCAGAAGUCAAUUUAUGGUGACCUAAGGAAUUUUGGGGAAAUAGUUAAGGGAAUGUAACCUAUAAUGCGAUUAAGCCAUAUGAGAUGGAUUAAUAGGAUUAAGAAGAUUGAAAUUUCCUAAAUGCAAGGUAAACAUGAAGUAUGUGGAAAUAAUUGAAGCCAGUAAUCUUCCCUAACGCUGAGGAUAUGUAUAGGAAUGAGUAUGGCAUGUUAAUGAUGUUGUAAACUACAUAAUAGUGUAUGAGGAUAAUAUGAAUGAAUGAAAGUCGAGAAGUUUGAUAUGGAAUGAAGUAAUAAGAUACUGAUUGGUAUACCUAAAUAAGCAUAAAAUGCGAUCGAAAUUGGUAUGAUUGAGACGGAGUUAUGGUUCAAGUUUAAUGAUAGUAAUAGAAGCAUGCUUGGUGUCUCGAUAUAAAAGAUCAUAAUUGUGAAGGUUACUAUUGAUCUGAUUUUAAAGGAUAAUAAUAGACAUAAGUGAAGUACUCGAGUUGAAUUGGAGGUAAAUUAGGUGAACAAAUCGAAAUUCCCUAUAAAAGGGAGGACAUAAGAAGUCGAGCAUUAGAUGAGAAAACAAUACCCCCACAUUUUCUCUGAGUUCAGUAAAUGAAAUUUUGAGUUCAAAAUUUUAUCUUAAGGGGGGGGGGGGGUAGUGCUGUCAAGCCCAACUCUACAAUAUGUUUAUUAUGCCAUUCCUACAUAAGAAUGCAUGUUUGCUUACUUGGGUACCUCAUAAAUCGUUAAAGGACGAUAAUGUACCAAAUGUUUAUUAAAUUUUAUGUUACUUGACUUGAGUUUGAUGAUUUGGAGUAUUGGGAGAGAAAUGGAGUUAUUUGGAGUUAAAUUGGACGUAUUAGCCAAUUAAUCGGGUGAUAGAUAGAAUUAGGCCAAUACCAUUUUAUUUAGGUACAUAAUUGAAUUUACAUUGAACACUGUAUUUAGAUAGUUACCCGAGUAUUUUACAUCCCAUUUCAUGCAUUAGUUUAGAGUCUGAAUUGGUUUUACAACGGUUUAGCACAAAUGUAGCAAAUUGCUUAUUGUGCAUUAUGUCUAGGUGGUGAGCAUUCUGGCAAGAGUAAAGAGGUAGUAUCCGAGGAUCAAGAAUCAGAGUAUCUCGAAUUCGAUUCCCAUUACAAUGAGUAACCUUAUUAUCGUCUUAAUUAUCUAAAGUAUGUUUUUAUCCAAUUUUGUAAUUUUAUGGAAAAUGUGUUCAAAUGAAAUGAUUUUAUAAACUGUUUUGAAAUUUAAUGAUGACUUGAAAAUGGAGUAAUUGGAGACUACUUGUUGUAUUGUAAAUUAUGUUUUGAAUUGAAUGGCUUAUGAUAAUGUGGGCAUGAAUGGCUGAAUGGGUAUUUGUGUUGAAAAUGUAUAAACUGUUGUUUGCCUUGAUAGGCUGGAUAAUGAUAAAAUGACCAUGUCAUAUUGUUGAAUUUUUAUUGAAUUGGUGGGUUAUGGAUUGGUCAUUACAGUGGCAAGUUCUGUGGACCAGCCUAUUAAAGGGGCACGGAAUCCGAGUAUAUUCUUACCUCGGCCGGAGAGGAGCGUAGGGUAACUCUUGAGGUAAAACUUUAGAGUUCACUUCACGCUGAACCACCACGUGAGGGUGAACUCAGCCAACACCAAGGAACGGCUAUGUUUUCAAAAUAAAAAACAUGAUUUAUGCGUACAUGACUUUUUAACAGCCUUGA
This 10695-nucleotide long non-coding RNA is filed under the name Theobroma cacao (cacao). RNAcentral's name for it is "long non-coding RNA (TCAC_LNC005858)". Lineage: Eukaryota; Viridiplantae; Streptophyta; Magnoliopsida; Malvales; Malvaceae. The record is from RNAcentral.